UCAGUUCGGAUUGAAGGCUGAAAUUCGCCUUCAUGAAGCCGGAAUUGCUAGUAAUGGCAGGUCAGCAUACUGCCGUGAAUACGUUCCCGGGCCUUGUACACACCGCCCGUCACACCAUGAGAGUUGGGAAUACCCGAAGCCUGUGAGCUAACUUUUAGAGGCAGCAGUCGAAGGUAGAAUCAAUGAUUGGGGUGAAGUCGUAACAAGGUAAC
RNAcentral lists this ribosomal RNA (212 nucleotides) under uncultured bacterium. RNAcentral describes it as "partial 16S ribosomal RNA". It matches the Rfam family "Bacterial small subunit ribosomal RNA", at positions 1288 to 1500 of the family's 1533-position model. The record is from RNAcentral.